GAUGAACGCUAGCUACAGGCUUAACACAUGCAAGUCGAGGGGAAACGACAUCGAAAGCUUGCUUUUGAUGGGCGUCGACCGGCGCACGGGUNAGUAACGCGUAUCCAACCUGCCCACCACUUGGGGAUAACCUUGCGAAAGUAAGACUAAUACCCAAUGAUAUCCCACGAAGGCAUCCGAAUGGGAUUAAAGAUUUAUCGGUGAUGGAUGGGGAUGCGUCUGAUUAGCUUGUUGGCGGGGUAACGGCCCACCAAGGCAACGAUCAGUAGGGGUUCUGAGAGGAAGGUCCCCCACACUGGAACUGAGACACGGUCCAAACUCCUACGGGAGGCAGCAGUGAGGAAUAUUGGUCAAUGGGCGAGAGCCUGAACCAGCCAAGUAGCGUGCAGGACGACGGCCCUAUGGGUUGUAAACUGCUUUUAUAAGGGAAUAAAGUGGGUCUCGUGAGACUUUUUGCAUGUACCUUAUGAAUAAGGACCGGCUAAUUCCGUG
RNAcentral lists this ribosomal RNA (492 nucleotides) under uncultured bacterium. Its description in RNAcentral is "bacterial SSU rRNA". It matches the Rfam family "Bacterial small subunit ribosomal RNA", at positions 28 to 507 of the family's 1533-position model. The record is from RNAcentral.